Molecule: long non-coding RNA, 353 nt
Organism: Homo sapiens (human)
Lineage: Eukaryota; Metazoa; Chordata; Mammalia; Primates; Hominidae
Gene: SCARNA9
Product: small Cajal body-specific RNA 9
Source: Ensembl
GCUUUCUGAGAUCUGCUUUUAGUGAAGUGGAUCAAUGAUGAAACUAGCCAAAUCUGAGCAUCAGAAGUCUUUCCAGUCUACCUGAUGCAUGAUCUCUACAGUUCUGAGAAGCAAAACUAUAAAACAAUGUAAAACAAUAAGGGCAUAUGUCUGGUGUGUGUGUGUGUGUGUGUGUGUGUGUGUGUGUGUACGCACAUGUGUUUAUAAAGAUAACAGCUGUAGGAAUGAAUGAGAUUGAGGGUGGGGGGGUGCGUAUGUAUGUCUAUGAAAGCCUAAUCAUUUCUGGGCAAUGAUGAAAAGGUUUUACUACUGAUCUUUGUAACUAUGAUGGUUUCUACACUUGACCUGAGCUC